RNAcentral lists this long non-coding RNA (2160 nucleotides) under Lathyrus oleraceus (garden pea). RNAcentral describes it as "Pisum sativum (pea) long non-coding RNA (PSAT_LNC026384)". The record is from RNAcentral. Lineage: Eukaryota; Viridiplantae; Streptophyta; Magnoliopsida; Fabales; Fabaceae.
UGCUGGAUAAAAAGUGUGUUAAGCUUGUUUAGUGAAAGAAGAAUUACAUUUGCAAGGAGACAUCGAUUCAUAGGUCAUAUGUAUCAUUGAAUUAUUCAUUUCAUCUUCAACAUUAUUCAUUUCCUAAACAAGUGUCAUUUAUAUUCAUACAUCACAUCCAAAUGUCCAUACAUAGAAAAAUUACAAAAUUUGACCAUUUCUAUAACAGUUGACUUUUUGGCCAAUAAUUAGCUUUUUUGUCAACCAUUUGACCAAAGUCAACUGAUUCCCCUUGAUUAUCCUAAAGUCUAACAAAAUUCCACUUGCCCAUUUUUAAUCAUCAAAAUCCAUGAUCACUUGCUUUCAUUAUUUUUCUCCAAGUCAUUGUCAAGCCUUGAUGUCCAUCAUGCUAGGUUUGAUCCUAGCAAAAACCAAUGCACAAAAGUAACACAUCAAGUCAUCAAACCAACCAAGUGCAAUUCCAUAACACAAUCCUGCAGAGCUAAUGCAUUCAUGUCAGUCCAAGCAACAACAACAACAUGAGCAUAACCAUAACCAUCUCACAUUGCAUUGCAAAUUAUCAUAAUAGGCCUGCAAAAUGGAUCAUAACCUGCAGAACAAAAUAAAGAAGUAGCAGUAAAAAAACUACAUAACAAGGACAUUGCAACAAUUCGGAACAAUUAACUAAGCUGAACCUAACAUACAUCCUGCAUUCAAACACAAACAGACCAAACAAUGAGCAUGCAUACCAAAUCAAUGAACAAAGGUAGCAACAACAAAAAAUCAUGGCAAUUCUGCAAACAGACUUGCAAUGCAUUCAAAACAGAUAUUGUACAACACAUACAACAACAUUCCAAGUCAGUUGAAUAAAUUCAUAAAAACACGAUUCCAUUAACAUCUCAACCAUCCAAAUAUCAUCUAACCUAACCAAACUUCAAUCUCAACCAUUCACAACAUAACAGAAUCAACCUAACAAAUUAACCUAACUACGUCAAACUUCACAAUCUCAUAAAUAACCAUUUUGCCUCGAUUUCAGCAAAGUCAGUUCCACUCUAACUGAUUCUCUAACUGAUUUCACAAAUCCCUAAGCUUCUUAACAACCUAUAUAAACAACCUCUCAACCAUUUCAUAACUACCUCUAGAUCAUUCAUCACCUAAACACAAUCAUCUACACCAUUUUUUUCAAUCAUUCAUCAUCUGCACAAAAACUUAGAACCUCUCAAUCCUUUAUUACCAAAAACUCAGAAGAUCAUUCAUUCUGAUUCACUCAACUCAAUCUUCAUCUCUAUCGAAAUCAAGCUUGGAACCUUAAUCAAUUCUCAAAUCCACAAACUCACAAACUCACACAUCAUUCACGAAUUCAGAGCAAUCUCACAAUCUCUCAAGAAGAAGAGGGGAAAAAGGCGUUGAAAGCAAGGAAAAGAAAGAGGCAUCAGAGAACUUACCUAAGAUUUUUCAUAUCAUCUUCUCCGACAAGGUGAUUUUUCCAACUUUCGUUUUUCAUCAAUUUCUCGAUACCGAGAUGUAUAAGGAGACGAGGGGAAUCAAAACCCUAACCUCUCGGGCUUUGAUUCCUUAUGUUUGGUAUUUAAUUUAUCUUAGAAUAAUUAGGGUUCUUGAGGAGAUCUCUUCAAUUUGGCAUUUUGAGUGAGUUCCUCUUAAAAUUGAUACCAAAUUCAUGCUCAACUUGUUGCCACGGUUCCAGAAGUAGUUUUCGUUUUCAUUUUGGUGAUCCACCGCUGCCGGAGGCAACCUCUGGCGCUAUGGAUGACGGUGUGGGAAGAUGGCUUUUAAUCUGAAUGUUUGAAAUGAAAUGCUUCAUGUUGCACGCAUUUUUUUCCUUUUAAUUAAAUAUGAAUUUCCUUUUGUUUCAUUUGAAGUUUCAUAGUGCCGAACACAUGUUACACAUUGCCUUGCUCCAUGUUAGUAUUGGGCCUUAACUCGUGUGGGCUUAGUGUAUCUUUUCGGAUUGAACCUUACUUUGCCCCUGCACCCGUCUGUCCCAGCCAUCAAUUGCAAUGGGCCAUUCACCUCGGGCACUGCGCAGGAUUGUUAUUUAUACACUGUUUGUAGAAUGAACCCCCCUUGUUUCUUUAUCAGUUUUGAUAUAUUUUUUGCUACAUCUUUUAGUACUCUUUUUCCAUUUAUUUUUCUUGAUACAUUUUAUUAUAUUUUGUGGUA